RNAcentral lists this transfer RNA (76 nucleotides) under Armatimonadota bacterium. RNAcentral's name for it is "Armatimonadetes bacterium (hot springs metagenome) tRNA-Asn". It matches the Rfam family "tRNA". Rfam says of the family: Transfer RNA (tRNA) molecules are approximately 80 nucleotides in length. Their secondary structure includes four short double-helical elements and three loops (D, anti-codon, and T loops). Further hydrogen bonds mediate the characteristic L-shaped molecular structure. tRNAs have two regions of fundamental functional importance: the anti-codon, which is responsible for specific mRNA codon recognition, and the 3' end, to which the tRNAs corresponding amino acid is attached (by aminoacyl-tRNA synthetases). tRNAs cope with the degeneracy of the genetic code in two manners: having more than one tRNA (with a specific anti-codon) for a particular amino acid; and 'wobble' base-pairing, i.e. permitting non-standard base-pairing at the 3rd anti-codon position. The record is from RNAcentral. Lineage: Bacteria; Bacillati; Armatimonadota.
UCCGCGGUAGCUCAACAGGCAGAGCGGCGGGCUGUUAACCCGCAGGUCGCAGGUUCGAGUCCUGCCCGCGGAGCCA